GGAGCAGUAGUUCAGAUGGUUAGAAUACCUGCCUGUCACGCAGGGGGGCGCGGGUUCGAGUCCCGUCUGUUCCGCCA
RNAcentral lists this transfer RNA (77 nucleotides) under Flammeovirga sp. SJP92. RNAcentral describes it as "tRNA-Asp". It matches the Rfam family "tRNA". From Rfam's summary of the family: Transfer RNA (tRNA) molecules are approximately 80 nucleotides in length. Lineage: Bacteria; Pseudomonadati; Bacteroidota; Cytophagia; Cytophagales; Flammeovirgaceae. The record is from RNAcentral.